Molecule: ribosomal RNA, 343 nt
Filed under: uncultured bacterium
Lineage: Bacteria
Description: bacterial SSU rRNA
Rfam family: Bacterial small subunit ribosomal RNA
Source: RNAcentral
GAUGAACGCCGGCGGUGUGCCUAAUACAUGCAAGUCGUACGCACUGGCCCGACUGAUUGAUGGUGCUUGCACCUGAUUGACGAUGGAUCACCAGUGAGUGGCGGACGGGUGAGUAACACGUAGGUAACCUGCCCCGGAGCGGGGGAUAACAUUUGGAAACAGAUGCUAAUACCGCAUAACAACAAAAGCCACAUGGCUUUUCUUUGAAAGAUGGCUUUGGCUAUCACUCUGGGAUGGACCUGCGGUGCAGUAGCUAGUUGGUAAGGUAACGGCUUACCAAGGCGAUGAUGCAUAGCCGAGUUGAGAGACUGAUCGGCCACAAUGGAACUGAGACACGGUCCAU